Molecule: ribosomal RNA, 493 nt
Filed under: uncultured bacterium
Lineage: Bacteria
Description: partial 16S ribosomal RNA
Rfam family: Bacterial small subunit ribosomal RNA
Source: RNAcentral
GACGAACGCUGGCGGUGUGCUUAACACAUGCAAGUGGUGCGACGAACCAGAGCUUGCUCUGGGGCAAAGCCGCGAACGGGUGAGUAACACGUGGGUAAUCUACCCCGAUGACCGGGACAACCCGAGGAAACUCGGGCUAAUACCGGAUGUGGUGCGGAGACAUAAGUCUCUUCACUAAAGGUAGCUUCGGCUUCCGCAUUGGGAGGGGCCCGCGGCCCAUUAGCUUGUCGGUGGGGUCAAGGCCUACCAAGGCAACGAUGGGUAGCUGGUCUGAGAGGACGAUCAGCCACACUGGGACUGAGACACGGCCCAGACUCCUACGGGAGGCAGCAGUGGGGAAUCUUGCGCAAUGCGCGAAAGCGUGACGCAGCAACACCGCGUGAGGGAAGAAGGCCUUAGGGUUGUAAACCUCUUUCAGAUGGGACGAAGGUUCUCCGGUGAAUAGCCGAGAGGAUUGACGGUACCGUCAGAAGAAGCUCCGGCUAACUACGUG